RNAcentral lists this ribosomal RNA (424 nucleotides) under uncultured bacterium. Its description in RNAcentral is "bacterial SSU rRNA". It matches the Rfam family "Bacterial small subunit ribosomal RNA", at positions 356 to 773 of the family's 1533-position model. The record is from RNAcentral.
GGGGAAUUUUGCGCAAUGGGCGAAAGCCUGACGCAGCGACGCCGCGUGGGUGAUGAAGGCCUUCGGGUUGUAAAGCCCUGUGGGGAGGGAAGAAUAAGGGGCGGCUAAUACCCGCACCGAUGACGGUACCUCCUUAGCAAGCACCGGCUAACUCUGUGCCAGCAGCCGCGGUAAGACAGAGGGUGCAAACGUUGUUCGGAAUUACUGGGCGUAAAGCGCGUGUAGGCGGUCUAGCAAGUCGGAUGUGAAAGCCCUUGGCUCAACUGAGGAAGUGCAUUCGAAACUGCGAGACUUGAGUCCCGGAGAGGAUGGUGGAAUUCUCGGUGUAGAGGUGAAAUUCGUAGAUAUCGAGAGGAACACCGGUGGCGAAGGCGGCCAUCUGGACGGUGACUGACGCUGAGACGCGAAAGCAUGGGGAGCAAAC